Molecule: ribosomal RNA, 474 nt
Filed under: uncultured bacterium
Lineage: Bacteria
Description: bacterial SSU rRNA
Rfam family: Bacterial small subunit ribosomal RNA
Source: RNAcentral
GUACGGGACCGGGGGCAACUCCGGUUCAGUGGCAGAUGGGUGCGUAACACGUGAGGAACUUGUCCGUCGGCGGGGGAUAGCCGGCCCAACGGCCGGGUAAUACCGCAUACGCUCGCUCGGGGGCAUCCCUGGGCGAGGACAGCAGCCGCAAGGUUGCGCCGGUGGAGAGGCUCGCGGCCUAUCAGCUAGUUGGCGGGGUAACGGCCCACCAAGGCGACGACGGGUAGCUGGUCUGAGAGGAUGGCCAGCCACAUUGGGACUGAGACACGGCCCAGACUCCUACGGGAGGCAGCAGUGGGGAAUAUUGCGCAAUGGCCGCAAGGCUGACGCAGCGACGCCGCGUGUGGGAUGACGGCCUUCGGGUUGUAAACCACUGUCGGGGGGAACGAAUACUCGGCUUCGAAUAGGAGCCCGAGGGUGACGGUACUCUCCAAAGGAAGCACCGUCUAACUCCGUGCCAGCAGCCGCGGUAAU